This 228-nucleotide long non-coding RNA is filed under the name Physcomitrium patens. RNAcentral's name for it is "long non-coding RNA (PPAT_LNC003905)". The record is from RNAcentral. Lineage: Eukaryota; Viridiplantae; Streptophyta; Bryopsida; Funariales; Funariaceae.
GAGGAGAAGAUUUGUCUGCUGCUGCUGCUGCAGCAUCAUGCGGGAUGUGUCUUCGUGCAUCCUCCGUGACUCCUCGAACAAUCUCAUGCUCUCGGCAUGAUCACGAUCUUGUCGAGCAUUGAUUUCUGCAAUCUGCUGCUCGUGCCUCCGCUGGCUGUCUGCCAGAAUCGCCGAAAUGGACUCCAUGACGGUAGCCACAGAGUCCAUGUCCUUCCUCUUCCUCCUCCG